RNAcentral lists this ribosomal RNA (461 nucleotides) under uncultured Desulfobulbus sp. Its description in RNAcentral is "bacterial SSU rRNA". It matches the Rfam family "Bacterial small subunit ribosomal RNA", at positions 925 to 1382 of the family's 1533-position model. Lineage: Bacteria; Pseudomonadati; Thermodesulfobacteriota; Desulfobulbia; Desulfobulbales; Desulfobulbaceae. The record is from RNAcentral.
ACAGCGUGGAGUAUGUGUUUAAUUCGAUGCAACGCGAAGAACCUUACCUGGUCUUGACAUCCCGGAGACCCUUAGGAACUAGGGGUGCUUCCAUCUGGAAGAAUCUGGAGACAGGUGCUGCAUGGCUGUCGUCAGCUCGUGUCGUGAGAUGUUGGGUUUAAGUCCCGCAACGAGCGCAACCCUUGCCUUUUAGUUUGCCAGCAGUUCGGCUGGGCACUCUAAAGGGACUGCCGGUGUUAAACCGGAGGAAGGUGGGGAUGACGUCAAGUCCUCAUGGCCUUUAUGACCAGGGCUACACACGUACUACAAUGGCCGAUACAAAGGGCAGCGACACUGCGAGGUGAAGCCAAUCCCGUAAAAUCGGUCUCAGUCCGGAUUGGAGUCUGCAACUCGACUCCAUGAAGUUGGAAUCGCUAGUAAUCGUGGAUCAGCAUGCCACGGUGAAUACGUUCCCGGGCCUU